GACGAACGCUGGCGGCGUGCUUAACACAUGCAAGUCGAACGGAACGGCCCUGCUUUUGUGGGGUGCUCCAGUGGCGAACGGGUGAGUAACCCGUGAGUAACCUGCCCUUUACUUUGGGAUACCUUCAGGAAACUGGGCCUAAUACCGGAUCGGAGAUCCUGCUGCAUGGUGUUGGUUGGAAUGUUUCGGCGGUUGGGGAUGUUCCCGCGGCUAAUCAGCUUGUUGGUGGGGUAGUGGCUUAUCAAGGCUUUGACGGGUAGCCGGCCUGAGAGGGUGACCGGCUACAUAGUAAUUUAGAAACGACCAAAACUCAGACGGGAGGCAGCAGUGUGGUAUUGUGCACGAUGGGCUGAAUCCGGAAGCAGCGACUCCGCGUGCUGGAUGUCGGCCUUUGGGUGGUAAUCCGCAUGCGCCUGUGACGAAGCUUGAUGGACGGUAAUGUGUAAAGAAGCACCGGCUAACUACGUG
Molecule: ribosomal RNA, 468 nt
Filed under: uncultured bacterium
Lineage: Bacteria
Description: partial 16S ribosomal RNA
Rfam family: Bacterial small subunit ribosomal RNA
Source: RNAcentral